This 429-nucleotide ribosomal RNA is filed under the name Chloroflexota bacterium. Its description in RNAcentral is "Chloroflexi bacterium partial 16S ribosomal RNA". It matches the Rfam family "Bacterial small subunit ribosomal RNA", at positions 355 to 776 of the family's 1533-position model. The record is from RNAcentral. Lineage: Bacteria; Bacillati; Chloroflexota.
UGGGGAAUAUUGCACAAUGGGCGCAAGCCUGAUGCAGCCAUGCCGCGUGUGUGAAGAAGGCCUUCGGGUUGUAAAGCACUUUCAGCGGGGAGGAAGGCGAUAAGGUUAAUAACCUUGUCGAUUGACGUUACCCGCAGAAGAAGCACCGGCUAACCCCGUGCCAGCAGCCGCGGUAAUACGGAGGGUGCAAGCGUUAAUCGGAAUUACUGGGCGUAAAGCGCACGCAGGCGGUCUGUCAAGUCGGAUGUGAACUCCCCGGGCUCAACCUGGGAACUGCAUUCGAAACUGGCAGGCGAGAGUCUUGUAGAGGGGGGUAGAAUUCCAGGUGUAGCGGUGAAAUGCGUAGAGAUCUGGAGGAAUACCGGUGGCGAAGGCGGCCCCCUGGACAAAUACUGACGAUCAGGUGCGAAAGCGUGGGGAGCAAACAGG